RNAcentral lists this ribosomal RNA (2892 nucleotides) under Staphylococcus aureus. Its description in RNAcentral is "partial 23S ribosomal RNA". It matches the Rfam family "Bacterial large subunit ribosomal RNA". Lineage: Bacteria; Bacillati; Bacillota; Bacilli; Caryophanales; Staphylococcaceae. The record is from RNAcentral.
AGAUUAAGUUAUUAAGGGCGCACGGUGGAUGCCUUGGCACUAGAAGCCGAUGAAGGACGUUACUAACGACGAUAUGCUUUGGGGAGCUGUAAGUAAGCUUUGAUCCAGAGAUUUCCGAAUGGGGAAACCCAGCAUGAGUUAUGUCAUGUUAUCGAUAUGUGAAUACAUAGCAUAUCAGAAGGCACACCCGGAGAACUGAAACAUCUUAGUACCCGGAGGAAGAGAAAGAAAAUUCGAUUCCCUUAGUAGCGGCGAGCGAAACGGGAAGAGCCCAAACCAACAAGCUUGCUUGUUGGGGUUGUAGGACACUCUAUACGGAGUUACAAAGGACGACAUUAGACGAAUCAUCUGGAAAGAUGAAUCAAAGAAGGUAAUAAUCCUGUAGUCGAAAAUGUUGUCUCUCUUGAGUGGAUCCUGAGUACGACGGAGCACGUGAAAUUCCGUCGGAAUCUGGGAGGACCAUCUCCUAAGGCUAAAUACUCUCUAGUGACCGAUAGUGAACCAGUACCGUGAGGGAAAGGUGAAAAGCACCCCGGAAGGGGAGUGAAAUAGAACCUGAAACCGUGUGCUUACAAGUAGUCAGAGCCCGUUAAUGGGUGAUGGCGUGCCUUUUGUAGAAUGAACCGGCGAGUUACGAUUUGAUGCAAGGUUAAGCAGUAAAUGUGGAGCCGUAGCGAAAGCGAGUCUGAAUAGGGCGUUUAGUAUUUGGUCGUAGACCCGAAACCAGGUGAUCUACCCUUGGUCAGGUUGAAGUUCAGGUAACACUGAAUGGAGGACCGAACCGACUUACGUUGAAAAGUGAGCGGAUGAACUGAGGGUAGCGGAGAAAUUCCAAUCGAACCUGGAGAUAGCUGGUUCUCUCCGAAAUAGCUUUAGGGCUAGCCUCAAGUGAUGAUUAUUGGAGGUAGAGCACUGUUUGGACGAGGGGCCCCUCUCGGGUUACCGAAUUCAGACAAACUCCGAAUGCCAAUUAAUUUAACUUGGGAGUCAGAACAUGGGUGAUAAGGUCCGUGUUCGAAAGGGAAACAGCCCAGACCACCAGCUAAGGUCCCAAAAUAUAUGUUAAGUGGAAAAGGAUGUGGCGUUGCCCAGACAACUAGGAUGUUGGCUUAGAAGCAGCCAUCAUUUAAAGAGUGCGUAAUAGCUCACUAGUCGAGUGACACUGCGCCGAAAAUGUACCGGGGCUAAACAUAUUACCGAAGCUGUGGAUUGUCCUUUGGACAAUGGUAGGAGAGCGUUCUAAGGGCGUUGAAGCAUGAUCGUAAGGACAUGUGGAGCGCUUAGAAGUGAGAAUGCCGGUGUGAGUAGCGAAAGACGGGUGAGAAUCCCGUCCACCGAUUGACUAAGGUUUCCAGAGGAAGGCUCGUCCGCUCUGGGUUAGUCGGGUCCUAAGCUGAGGCCGACAGGCGUAGGCGAUGGAUAACAGGUUGAUAUUCCUGUACCACCUAUAAUCGUUUUAAUCGAUGGGGGGACGCAGUAGGAUAGGCGAAGCGUGCGAUUGGAUUGCACGUCUAAGCAGUAAGGCUGAGUAUUAGGCAAAUCCGGUACUCGUUAAGGCUGAGCUGUGAUGGGGAGAAGACAUUGUGUCUUCGAGUCGUUGAUUUCACACUGCCGAGAAAAGCCUCUAGAUAGAAAAUAGGUGCCCGUACCGCAAACCGACACAGGUAGUCAAGAUGAGAAUUCUAAGGUGAGCGAGCGAACUCUCGUUAAGGAACUCGGCAAAAUGACCCCGUAACUUCGGGAGAAGGGGUGCUCUUUAGGGUUAACGCCCAGAAGAGCCGCAGUGAAUAGGCCCAAGCGACUGUUUAUCAAAAACACAGGUCUCUGCUAAACCGUAAGGUGAUGUAUAGGGGCUGACGCCUGCCCGGUGCUGGAAGGUUAAGAGGAGUGGUUAGCUUCUGCGAAGCUACGAAUCGAAGCCCCAGUAAACGGCGGCCGUAACUAUAACGGUCCUAAGGUAGCGAAAUUCCUUGUCGGGUAAGUUCCGACCCGCACGAAAGGCGUAACGAUUUGGGCACUGUCUCAACGAGAGACUCGGUGAAAUCAUAGUACCUGUGAAGAUGCAGGUUACCCGCGACAGGACGGAAAGACCCCGUGGAGCUUUACUGUAGCCUGAUAUUGAAAUUCGGCACAGCUUGUACAGGAUAGGUAGGAGCCUUUGAAACGUGAGCGCUAGCUUACGUGGAGGCGCUGGUGGGAUACUACCCUAGCUGUGUUGGCUUUCUAACCCGCACCACUUAUCGUGGUGGGAGACAGUGUCAGGCGGGCAGUUUGACUGGGGCGGUCGCCUCCUAAAAGGUAACGGAGGCGCUCAAAGGUUCCCUCAGAAUGGUUGGAAAUCAUUCAUAGAGUGUAAAGGCAUAAGGGAGCUUGACUGCGAGACCUACAAGUCGAGCAGGGUCGAAAGACGGACUUAGUGAUCCGGUGGUUCCGCAUGGAAGGGCCAUCGCUCAACGGAUAAAAGCUACCCCGGGGAUAACAGGCUUAUCUCCCCCAAGAGUUCACAUCGACGGGGAGGUUUGGCACCUCGAUGUCGGCUCAUCGCAUCCUGGGGCUGUAGUCGGUCCCAAGGGUUGGGCUGUUCGCCCAUUAAAGCGGUACGCGAGCUGGGUUCAGAACGUCGUGAGACAGUUCGGUCCCUAUCCGUCGUGGGCGUAGGAAAUUUGAGAGGAGCUGUCCUUAGUACGAGAGGACCGGGAUGGACAUACCUCUGGUGUACCAGUUGUCGUGCCAACGGCAUAGCUGGGUAGCUAUGUGUGGACGGGAUAAGUGCUGAAAGCAUCUAAGCAUGAAGCCCCCCUCAAGAUGAGAUUUCCCAACUUCGGUUAUAAGAUCCCUCAAAGAUGAUGAGGUUAAUAGGUUCGAGGUGGAAGCAUGGUGACAUGUGGAGCU